RNAcentral lists this ribosomal RNA (248 nucleotides) under uncultured bacterium. RNAcentral describes it as "partial 16S ribosomal RNA". It matches the Rfam family "Bacterial small subunit ribosomal RNA", at positions 523 to 769 of the family's 1533-position model. The record is from RNAcentral.
AUACGUAGGUGGCAAGCGUUGUCCGGAUUUAUUGGGCGUAAAGCGAGUGCGGAGGUCGUUUUUAAGUCUGAUGUGAAAGCCUUCGGCUUAACCGAAGAAGGGCAUCGGAAACUGGGAGACUUGAGUGCAGAAGAGGAGAGUGGAACUCCAUGUGUAGCGGUGAAAUGCGUAGAUAUAUGGAAGAACACCAGUGGCGAAGGCGGCUCUCUGGUCUGUAACUGACGCUGAGGCUCGAAAGCGUGGGUAGC